This is a long non-coding RNA of Alosa sapidissima (American shad), 666 nucleotides long. RefSeq lists it as uncharacterized. The transcript is spliced from 3 exons. The record is from RefSeq and is a predicted model, not a curated record. NCBI's taxonomy places the organism in Eukaryota, Metazoa, Chordata, Actinopteri, Clupeiformes, Clupeidae.
GAGCGCUCAUGCUGCGCCGGGGCCCGGCUUCCUGUUUACUGAGAGAAAUUUCCUUCCGAAGCCAGAAAUUAAAAAUCAAACUCGCCCCUCUCUCCGGCCGAUAUCUGUCCGCCGAAGAAAAACGACUUGGAACGGCUCAAUCUGAGAGGACGCUCCACUUCUGGACAUGUGGGAAUUCUCCCACGCGCUGCGGCUCCCAGGUACACACCUAUUUCUGACAUUAUGAAUGAAGGGUGGGAACCGCUGAACACAUCCUGCCCGACCAUAAUUUCUUAUGUUUUCAUGGAUUAUUAAAGCUGUUGUAAACGACCGGUCUCAUAUACCAGGCUUGGCUGCUGAUUUGUUACCAGCUUCGCUGUCUUCAGGAUGAUUCUCCGAACCGGCACCGUAGGGACCCCGUGGCCUGCCGUUAAUUUACAGCCUAAGCUCACCUUUCCGUGUGGAGUAACUUUUUAAAACCAUUAUGGCAGACGACGGUCGACUUGCUAUGGCAAUGAAUUCAAAGAGAGCUGAAUCACAGGAAAAUAUACCGAGACCGAGUCAGACCAACUACCCCCCAAAUACAGAUAUGAGGCCUCCGGUGGAUUUGAUUGACACUGGGCGGAGCCUAAAGCUGCAAUCGGCCACACCCCAUCUGGUGAGCCUCGGAAGUGGCCGCCUCAGUGU